CAGCACCUGGAAAAGGUAUUUGUGGUAUACAUAUAAAGGGCCCUACACUCAGGCGAGCCUGACAUAAGUACGUUUAUGGCGCACAUACACUCUGCUUGAGUACACAAUGAAACUGAAUUGAAAACAGCCAUUAGAUGAAAUAAAAGUGAACAAAUUAAAAGUGAAAUACAAACGCUCACCUUACUGCUACACUGCUUCACUUCAGGGAGCUUUGGUGGAUGUUGUCAUAUGGCACAUUCUAGCAGGGUGGUGCAGAUCCAUUAACUUAGGCCUGGGUGAUAAAAUACAAAGAAGAUGCAUCAUGAGAAAUAUUUAUUCAAUAUCAUGAACAAAACUUUAAUAGAACAUUCAACAGUUUCACUGAAAUGUUUUAAGUGAGAGACAGCAUUCGGCUGCUUUGGCACCCUAUAAAGCACAAAUGAGUUCAGCCUGCCCCAAACUGAUUUGUAUUAUGUGUUUCAGACAGUGCAGAAAUGUUUGUCAGGAUCUUCUGAGUCAACUCAAACUGACAUCUUAAAGGCUGAAGGACAAAGCACAAAAACAUCAUCCUUUAUCACACAUGGAAUCUGAAAA
Thalassophryne amazonica is the source of this 573-nucleotide long non-coding RNA. RefSeq lists it as uncharacterized. The transcript has 2 exons. The record is from RefSeq and is a predicted model, not a curated record. NCBI's taxonomy places the organism in Eukaryota, Metazoa, Chordata, Actinopteri, Batrachoidiformes, Batrachoididae.